UACAGAGGGUGCGAGCGUUAAUCGGAAUUACUGGGCGUAAAGCGCGCGUAGGCGGCUUUUUAAGUCGGGUGUGAAAUCCCCGAGUUCAACCUGGGAAUUGCAUUCGAUACUGGGAAGCUAGAGUAUGGGAGAGGAUGGUAGAAUUCCAGGUGUAGCGGUGAAAUGCGUAGAGAUCUGGAGGAAUACCGAUGGCGAAGGCGGCCAUCUGGCCUAAUACUGACGCUGAGGUACGAAAGCGUGGGGAGCAAACAGG
This 253-nucleotide unclassified non-coding RNA is filed under the name uncultured Moraxellaceae bacterium. RNAcentral's name for it is "contains 16S-23S intergenic spacer region". It matches the Rfam family "Bacterial small subunit ribosomal RNA", at positions 524 to 776 of the family's 1533-position model. Lineage: Bacteria; Pseudomonadati; Pseudomonadota; Gammaproteobacteria; Moraxellales; Moraxellaceae. The record is from RNAcentral.